RNAcentral lists this ribosomal RNA (691 nucleotides) under Pseudomonas sp. RNAcentral's name for it is "bacterial SSU rRNA". It matches the Rfam family "Bacterial small subunit ribosomal RNA", at positions 63 to 749 of the family's 1533-position model. Lineage: Bacteria; Pseudomonadati; Pseudomonadota; Gammaproteobacteria; Pseudomonadales; Pseudomonadaceae. The record is from RNAcentral. RNAcentral also lists the same sequence under 1 other name.
CGAGCGGAUGAAGAGAGCUUGCUCUCUGAUUCAGCGGCGGACGGGUGAGUAAUGCCUAGGAAUCUGCCUGAUAGUGGGGGACAACGUUUCGAAAGGAACGCUAAUACCGCAUACGUCCUACGGGAGAAAGCAGGGGACCUUCGGGCCUUGCGCUAUCAGAUGAGCCUAGGUCGGAUUAGCUAGUUGGUGAGGUAAUGGCUCACCAAGGCGACGAUCCGUAACUGGUCUGAGAGGAUGAUCAGUCACACUGGAACUGAGACACGGUCCAGACUCCUACGGGAGGCAGCAGUGGGGAAUAUUGGACAAUGGGCGAAAGCCUGAUCCAGCCAUGCCGCGUGUGUGAAGAAGGUCUUCGGAUUGUAAAGCACUUUAAGUUGGGAGGAAGGGCAUUAACCUAAUACGUUAGUGUUUUGACGUUACCGACAGAAUAAGCACCGGCUAACUUCGUGCCAGCAGCCGCGGUAAUACGAAGGGUGCAAGCGUUAAUCGGAAUUACUGGGCGUAAAGCGCGCGUAGGUGGUUUGUUAAGUUGGAUGUGAAAGCCCCGGGCUCAACCUGGGAACUGCAUCCAAAACUGGCAAGCUAGAGUAUGGCAGAGGGUGGUGGAAUUUCCUGUGUAGCGGUGAAAUGCGUAGAUAUAGGAAGGAACACCAGUGGCGAAGGCGACCACCUGGGCUAAUACUGACACUGA